This 1556-nucleotide ribosomal RNA is filed under the name Staphylococcus aureus. RNAcentral describes it as "16S ribosomal RNA". It matches the Rfam family "Bacterial small subunit ribosomal RNA". Lineage: Bacteria; Bacillati; Bacillota; Bacilli; Caryophanales; Staphylococcaceae. The record is from RNAcentral.
UUUAUGGAGAGUUUGAUCCUGGCUCAGGAUGAACGCUGGCGGCGUGCCUAAUACAUGCAAGUCGAGCGAACGGACGAGAAGCUUGCUUCUCUGAUGUUAGCGGCGGACGGGUGAGUAACACGUGGAUAACCUACCUAUAAGACUGGGAUAACUUCGGGAAACCGGAGCUAAUACCGGAUAAUAUUUUGAACCGCAUGGUUCAAAAGUGAAAGACGGUCUUGCUGUCACUUAUAGAUGGAUCCGCGCUGCAUUAGCUAGUUGGUAAGGUAACGGCUUACCAAGGCAACGAUGCAUAGCCGACCUGAGAGGGUGAUCGGCCACACUGGAACUGAGACACGGUCCAGACUCCUACGGGAGGCAGCAGUAGGGAAUCUUCCGCAAUGGGCGAAAGCCUGACGGAGCAACGCCGCGUGAGUGAUGAAGGUCUUCGGAUCGUAAAACUCUGUUAUUAGGGAAGAACAUAUGUGUAAGUAACUGUGCACAUCUUGACGGUACCUAAUCAGAAAGCCACGGCUAACUACGUGCCAGCAGCCGCGGUAAUACGUAGGUGGCAAGCGUUAUCCGGAAUUAUUGGGCGUAAAGCGCGCGUAGGCGGUUUUUUAAGUCUGAUGUGAAAGCCCACGGCUCAACCGUGGAGGGUCAUUGGAAACUGGAAAACUUGAGUGCAGAAGAGGAAAGUGGAAUUCCAUGUGUAGCGGUGAAAUGCGCAGAGAUAUGGAGGAACACCAGUGGCGAAGGCGACUUUCUGGUCUGUAACUGACGCUGAUGUGCGAAAGCGUGGGGAUCAAACAGGAUUAGAUACCCUGGUAGUCCACGCCGUAAACGAUGAGUGCUAAGUGUUAGGGGGUUUCCGCCCCUUAGUGCUGCAGCUAACGCAUUAAGCACUCCGCCUGGGGAGUACGACCGCAAGGUUGAAACUCAAAGGAAUUGACGGGGACCCGCACAAGCGGUGGAGCAUGUGGUUUAAUUCGAAGCAACGCGAAGAACCUUACCAAAUCUUGACAUCCUUUGACAACUCUAGAGAUAGAGCCUUCCCCUUCGGGGGACAAAGUGACAGGUGGUGCAUGGUUGUCGUCAGCUCGUGUCGUGAGAUGUUGGGUUAAGUCCCGCAACGAGCGCAACCCUUAAGCUUAGUUGCCAUCAUUAAGUUGGGCACUCUAAGUUGACUGCCGGUGACAAACCGGAGGAAGGUGGGGAUGACGUCAAUUCCCAUCAUGCCCCUUAUGAUUUGGGCUACACACGUGCUACAAUGGACAAUACAAAGGGCAGCGAAACCGCGAGGUCAAGCAAAUCCCAUAAAGUUGUUCUCAGUUCGGAUUGUAGUCUGCAACUCGACUACAUGAAGCUGGAAUCGCUAGUAAUCGUAGAUCAGCAUGCUACGGUGAAUACGUUCCCGGGUCUUGUACACACCGCCCGUCACACCACGAGAGUUUGUAACACCCGAAGCCGGUGGAGUAACCUUUUAGGAGCUAGCCGUCGAAGGUGGGACAAAUGAUUGGGGUGAAGUCGUAACAAGGUAGCCGUAUCGGAAGGUGCGGCUGGAUCACCUCCUUUCU